UAUUGCGCAAUGGGCGAAAGCCUGACGCAGCGACGCCGCGUGAGGGAUGAAGGUCUUCUGAUCGUAAACCUCUGUCCGAAGGGAAGAAAGUGCGUGGUGCUAAUCAGCCGCGUAUUGACGGUACCUUCAAAGGAAGCACCGGCCAACUCCGUGCCCGCAGCCGCGGUAAUACGGAGGGUGCGAGCGUUUAUCGGAAUUACUGGGCGUAAAGCGCACGUAGGCUGUUGUGUAAGUCAGGGAUGAAAUCCCACGGCUCAACCGUGGAACUGCCCUUGAUACUGCAUGACUGGAAUCCGGGAGAGGGUGGCGGAAUUCCAGGUGUAGGAGUGAAAUCCGUAGAUAUCUGGAGGAACAUCAGUGGCGAAGGCGGCCACCUGGACCGGUAUUGACGCUGAGGUGCGAAAGCGUGGGGAGCAAACAGG
This 422-nucleotide ribosomal RNA is filed under the name uncultured bacterium. RNAcentral's name for it is "bacterial SSU rRNA". It matches the Rfam family "Bacterial small subunit ribosomal RNA", at positions 362 to 776 of the family's 1533-position model. The record is from RNAcentral.